RNAcentral lists this ribosomal RNA (440 nucleotides) under uncultured bacterium. RNAcentral describes it as "partial 16S ribosomal RNA". It matches the Rfam family "Bacterial small subunit ribosomal RNA", at positions 338 to 795 of the family's 1533-position model. The record is from RNAcentral.
CCUACGGGAGGCAGCAGUGGGGAAUAUUGCACAAUGGGGGAAACCCUGAUGCAGCGACGCCGCGUGAGUGAAGAAGUAUUUCGGUACGUAAAGCUCUAUCAGCAGGGAAGAAAAUGACGGUACCUGACUAAGAAGCCCCGGCUAACUACGUGCCAGCAGCCGCGGUAAUACGUAGGGGGCAAGCGUUAUCCGGAUUUACUGGGUGUAAAGGGAGCGUAGACGGCAGCGCAAGUCUGGAGUGAAAUCCCAUGGCUUAACCAUGGAACUGCUUUGGAAACUGUGCAGCUAGAGUGCAGGAGAGGUAAGCGGAAUUCCUAGGGUAGCGGUGAAAUGCGUAGAUAUUAGGAGGAACACCAGUGGCGAAGGCGGCUUACUGGACUGUAACUGACGUUGAGGCUCGAAAGCGUGGGGAGCAAACAGGAUUAGAUACCCCUGUAGUC